UUAACAAAGCAAGAGCAAAGGUGCCUCUGACACAAACAUAACGUAUACAAGGAGGAGUUUUCUUCCAUACAGGAGGUGCCAAUACAAAGACCUGACUCGGGGGGAAUUUCUGAGUCGCCUGUAGCAUCAAGAUUAAGAUUAAAGCCUCGAGGAAGAAGAACAGACCGAGGAGGAAGGGCGUUCGUCAGGAAUGAACAAGUGAAGUGCCCAGUGCGAGUGACGAGUGAAGGGAGCGAGAGAGAGAGAGAGAGAGAGAGAGAGAGAGAGAGAGAGAGAGAGAGAGAGAGAGAGAGAGAGAGAGAGAGAGAGAGAGAGAGA
Molecule: long non-coding RNA, 318 nt
Organism: Portunus trituberculatus (swimming crab)
Lineage: Eukaryota; Metazoa; Arthropoda; Malacostraca; Decapoda; Portunidae
Exons: 2
Source: RefSeq, a predicted model, not a curated record